AUGCCUUAUGUUAAGUAGUAAACA
RNAcentral lists this non-coding RNA (24 nucleotides) under Arabidopsis thaliana (thale cress). Lineage: Eukaryota; Viridiplantae; Streptophyta; Magnoliopsida; Brassicales; Brassicaceae. The record is from RNAcentral.